AUUGAACGCUGGCGGCAUGCCUUACACAUGCAAGUCGAACGGCAGCACGGGUGCUUGCACCUGGUGGCGAGUGGCGAACGGGUGAGUAAUAUAUCGGAACGUACCUUAUUGUGGGGGAUAACGCAGCGAAAGCUGUGCUAAUACCGCAUAAUCCCUAAGGGGGAAAGCGGGGGACCGUAAGGCCUCGCGCAAUUAGAGCGGCCGAUACCUGAUUAGCUAGUUGGGGAGGUAAAGGCUCACUAAGGCAACGAUCAGUAGCUGGGCUGAGAGGGCGAUCAGCCACACUGGGGCUGAGACGCGGCCCAGAAGCCGGCGGGAGGCAGCAGUGGGGAAUUUUUGACAAUGGGGGCAACCCUGAUCCAGCAAUGCCGCGUGAGUGAAGAAGGCACUCGUGUUGUAAAGCUCUUUUGUCAGGGAAGAAACAGCAGCUCUAACACAGUUUGCGAAUGACGGUACCUGAAGAAUAAGCACCGGCUAACUACGUGCCAGCCGCCGCCGUAA
Molecule: ribosomal RNA, 501 nt
Filed under: uncultured bacterium
Lineage: Bacteria
Description: partial 16S ribosomal RNA
Rfam family: Bacterial small subunit ribosomal RNA
Source: RNAcentral